UCCGCGACCCGUACGGUCGUUUCCCGGACACGAGUGCGCCAUUGUUGUAAGCGAAAAGUCGGGAAGUCGGGAUGCAUAAAGUUAUGUGUUCGAUAUUUGUAACACGCAACGAUAUAAACCGUCGUAAAUAUACGAUUGAACAAUUUCUGUGAAAUACCGUAUUGUAGAGUAGCAAAAAAAAAUCAAAUAUUAACCGUUAAUGCCGUAAACUUUCUCGCUUUCACGACGUUUUUCCCGAUAAAUAAAAAAACCACACGGAAAAUUAUUGGAGUAAGAUUUUCGGUAAACGAUUUUUUUACAGAAAUCGCACGCAUCAUGGUCAAACCAAUGCAUCGGUCAGAAUAUCUAAACAGUUUUAUUUGCGGUUUUCCCGGUUUCCUCUUAUACGGCGGUGCUAUAUCAUUUCCCCUAUGUCCCCAUUUAAAUUAGUUAAAGGAGAGCGUAAUGGUUUUGAUACGGACACAAAAUACUCGAGGAUACAAUAUCAGCGUUCAUCGUCGAGCGUUAAGAGAACGCGACACCUACCGAAUUCAAGGGGUUGCGUAUAGGCAAUUUUCUGUUAAAGUUUGAAUGUACGUAAAUUGCAAUUUAUCGAAUAACAAUAAUUCAAAUUUACUUCCUGACGCAUUUUCAAAUUGACCGGUGUCGCGAACGUCACAAGUAUAUAUUACCGGGCACCUCUGAAACGAAACGAAAGAUGUUCUUGGAGAAAAUCGGAAAAUCGAGAAGGUGAGACU
This is a non-coding RNA of Cinara cedri, 737 nucleotides long. Lineage: Eukaryota; Metazoa; Arthropoda; Insecta; Hemiptera; Aphididae. The record is from the annotation of a GenBank genome assembly.